Gigantopelta aegis is the source of this 673-nucleotide long non-coding RNA. RefSeq lists it as uncharacterized. The transcript has 4 exons. NCBI's taxonomy places the organism in Eukaryota, Metazoa, Mollusca, Gastropoda, Neomphalida, Peltospiridae. The record is from RefSeq and is a predicted model, not a curated record.
UAUUUUUUCCUUAAAAGUAAAAUAUACUUUGUGAACUGAAAACAGAUUAAAAGUAAAUAUUAAAACAGUAACUGCACCGCUAUUACUAAAGUAUCUGAAUUUCAGCUCUAUUGGGCAUGAUCAGAAAUAUAUGUGAAUUCCCAAUCCAAAGUUCAACCUGCAAAUGUUUUGCUAACGUUCACAAACUAUUUGACUGGUUCCCGAUGUGGUUUACUGUGAAGCACUUGAACCAGUCUAGCGGACAUUUUUCUACUGCUCGGGUCUGGCUGAACUCGAUCCAGCAUUAAAGCGAGUUCCAACAACCUUGUUGCCUAUUUGAAUUCUUUGGACGCACAACAGCAAAGGAUGUAAUUGAGAGAAUAAUGGAGUGCCCUUGGCCUGUCAGUACAACUGGGUUGACAGGAGGAAAAAAAAUGGCAUCAGAAAAUUAAUUCUCAGAAAGGUGAUAAAAGAUGCUGCCAAAAACUGCAACAUAAAAGAGGCAAGAACGGAACUGCAUCUUAGAAAUUGGUUCAGAUACAUGUAUGCAUCGGACCGAAGUAAGGGCCGCAAAAGGAACACUUGAGGAGGAGACGCAACAUGCGAGGCCAGCAGCCAUGGAGAUGUAGUCAGAAUCCGAAGAAGAUUAUGAACAAGAUUGAUAUAUAGUUCGAUAAUAAAUGUUACAACUGUG